UAGAGAAUAAAAAACUUGAGAGUGGAAACGGACGGUUUAAAGAUAAAUCAGGAGAGAAACACGAGUGAAAAAGUGAAACACUUACAAGAGCACUCAAGGGAGAGUUGUGUGAGUCUAUAAGGGGGGACUUUGCUUCUUUCCAAUUAAGGUAAGCCUCCUUCCUCUUCUAUUGCAUCAUUCCUUUCUUCCUUAGUAUCUCAAUACAGUUGCUAACGGCCACACAAACCCAGAAAAUCGCAGCAAGCUUCAACCUAAAACUUCCUUCUGCUGCACCUGAACGUGAAGACAAUGUGGGUAAACGUGUUGUUUCUUUCUAAUUUCUUUUUGUCUUUAAUUUCAUUUCAUUCUUAAGUCAUAAUUAGUUAUUUUAAAAUCUUAGGAGUCUUAAGAAACAAAUUGCAACGAUAGAAUUGUUCCUAAAAUCAAGAAUUAACCAAAACUUCGCAAUUAACUCUGCAACCGUUGCCCAGACGAGUUACAGACCAUUUUUCUAGUUUCAUAUUCAUUCUACUAGUGCGUUUGGACCCAAAUAACCGUUCUCUUCGAGGUAAAAAGGAUAAUAAUUCAGUGAAUACAAGUAUUGAGCUUUAUAUAUGCAUUUAAUCGGUAAAAAUUGCAUAAAAUGGAACUGUGCUUGUGGUUUUAACGAAAAUAAGGGGGGGUGUGCGUGUGUGUGCGCGUUCAUGCAUAUUUUCUUCAUAUAAAUAAAUGCUUUGUGAUGUUUGGAUGAUGAUUAAUGUUUGAUUAAUGUAUGAGAAUGAAUUGGAAUGGAAAAUUAAUCGAAAUUGAACGAAAUAUCAAAGGAAAAAUGUUGACAGAGUCCAAAUGCCUCUGUUGACUGUGCCAGGCACCAAAGUGUCGGUAAAGAGGGACACCCGCGACUUAGCAGUGCGAGAAUGCGCGCGGGACAAUUCCCAGGCGCUCAAAAGCAUCGGGUUAGUCCCUCUGGCACACCGCGCACGUGCACUACGCUGUGCGGGAGUGUGCGAGGUUUUGCCAAGCACCCUGCGGUGCCGAGAGGACCUAUGCGCAUGAAGGUAUCGCGCGCAGUGCAAGCGUGCGUGCAUAGGCAUGUAGGGAUGUGCGCAAGGGCGCCCCAUUGCACCUCAGCACAUGCCUUGUAGGCCAGCUGCCUCACACAGCGGGCAGUGCGAGCCGUGUUGGUUUGAGAGGCGUACGCACGCCGAGAGGCCUUCGCGGAUGUUAACCGGGCUACAGGCACGAGAAAGGGAAAUUUCCUUAGGCGGGCAAUGGUUUACGGGCAAAUUAGUAAUUUUCUUAUAAACAAAAAUUGGAAUUAAAUUUAUGAAAUGGCAUAAAAUGGAAUUUAACAGUAAAAUUUGAUAUUCGAAAAUUAAAUUGAAAUUUACAAUGACACCAAAAUUGAGAAAUGGAAAAAUUAAAUACUGGGUACAGAAUAAGUAAGAUAUUUAAUCUUAUACUUAAAAUUAAUAAAAUAUAACAAUAAUUCAAUAAAAUUUAAUCAACCAUAAAACUUUAGAUAAAACAAAUAAAAUAAGAACAUAUUAAGUAAAAUCAAUAAAUAAAAAGGCUAGUUUAAAAUACAGUAAAAUGUCAAAUUAAUAAACCUAUAAAUUAGUCAGAUAAAAUCAAAAGAAAAAAAAAAUAAAAGGGUAAAAAAUUUAACCAAUACAAUUGUCUAGUUAAAUCUGAUUUACCUAAUUUUCUUAGAGGAAUAGUCUGUAUGGAUUUUAGAGCUAGUAGGCUGUGAGUGUUGGUUUUGGUUAUUGUGUUGGAAUUAGUAUUCAUUUUUUGCAUGGGAAUCUGAAUUAAUUGGUAUUCAUGCUCUGACGAGAGAUGAAUUAUGUGACCGGAGUAAAAUUUGUGAGAGGGUCGAUCGGAG
RNAcentral lists this long non-coding RNA (1864 nucleotides) under Carica papaya (papaya). RNAcentral's name for it is "long non-coding RNA (CPAP_LNC010466)". The record is from RNAcentral. Lineage: Eukaryota; Viridiplantae; Streptophyta; Magnoliopsida; Brassicales; Caricaceae.